RNAcentral lists this ribosomal RNA (449 nucleotides) under uncultured bacterium. Its description in RNAcentral is "partial 16S ribosomal RNA". It matches the Rfam family "Bacterial small subunit ribosomal RNA", at positions 29 to 523 of the family's 1533-position model. The record is from RNAcentral.
AGCGAACGCUGGCGGCAGGCCUAACACAUGCAAGUCAAACGGACCCUUCGGGGUUAGUGGCGGACGGGUGAGUAACACGUGGGAACGUGCCUUUAGGUUCGGAAUAGCUCCUGGAAACGGGUGGUAAUGCCGAAUGUGCCCUUCGGGGGAAAGAUUUAUCGCCUUUAGAGCGGCCCGCGUCUGAUUAGCUAGUUGGUGAGGUAAUGGCUCACCAAGGCGACGAUCGGUAGCUGGUCUGAGAGGAUGACCAGCCACACUGGGACUGAGACACGGCCCAGACUCCUACGGGAGGCAGCAGUGGGGAAUCUUGCGCAAUGGGCGAAAGCCUGACGCAGCCAUGCCGCGUGAAUGAUGAAGGUCUUAGGAUUGUAAAAUUCUUUCACCGGGGACGAUAAUGACGGUACCCGGAGAAGAAGCCCCGGCUAACUUCGUGCCAGCCGCCGCGGUAA